GAUGAACGCUGGCGGCGUGCCUAACACAUGCAAGUCGAACGGAGAAACGCUUAGCUUUUUCCUCUGAGGGUAGCGGUGGACAGCUGGGUAACAACUCGAUAGUAAACUGCUACUUCGUGGAGGAUAACGGGAUGAAAGUGCUGCUAAUACAGCAUAUACUGAACCGGUUGGUUCAAGGGUUAUAGACAGAUUUGGUGUCUGUUUGAGAUGGUUUCGCGCCGUAUUAUCUAGUUGGUAAGGUAACGGCGUACCAAGGCAACGAUGCGUAGCCGACCUGAUAGGAUGAUCGGCCACACUGGAACGGAGAAACGGCCCAGACGCCUACGGGAGGCAGCAGUAGGGAAUAUUCCGGAAUGGGCGCAAGCCUGAUGAAGCAACGCCGCGUGGGUGAUGAAGGUCUUCGGAUCGUAAAGCUCUUUUAUUGGGAAAGAAGAAAUGCGGAAGUAUCUGUGGAUGUCUUGACGGUACCUAAAGAAGAAGCGCCGGCUAACUACGUG
RNAcentral lists this ribosomal RNA (497 nucleotides) under uncultured bacterium. RNAcentral describes it as "partial 16S ribosomal RNA". It matches the Rfam family "Bacterial small subunit ribosomal RNA", at positions 28 to 507 of the family's 1533-position model. The record is from RNAcentral.